Bombus terrestris (buff-tailed bumblebee) is the source of this 2497-nucleotide RNA transcript. It is a transcript of the gene named metaxin-1, with no coding region annotated. The record is from RefSeq and is a predicted model, not a curated record. NCBI's taxonomy places the organism in Eukaryota, Metazoa, Arthropoda, Insecta, Hymenoptera, Apidae. The transcript is spliced from 7 exons.
UAAAUAUUUGUACAAAUAGAUAAGUAAAUUUGAGUUAAUCUUCUUUUGUUGAUUUCACAAAUUAAUUCAUUGAUUAUUUUCUGAGAAGUACACCAAAUCUUACAUCUGGUUUAAUUACGACAAAAAUCUUUGUUUACUGUAUAGUGAAAAGAAGCACGUGUGAUUAUUGUAUACUUUAAUUUAUGAAAUAAGUGAUUAAUUUUUUUUAUUUUUUGACAAUGGACACGUUUGAAUUAACUAUUUGGAAAGGUGAUUGGGGUUUACCGUCAGUUGACACGGAAUGUUUGCAGAUUUUGGUUUAUGCCAAAUUUAAUAAUAUACCUUUGAAAAUUAAUGCAACUAGUAAUCCAUUUAAUGGCAACUUACCUAUACUAAAAACUAAUGAUGGUACAUUUAAUGAAACCAAGGAUAUAAUAGAAUAUUUUAGAGGAAAGAAUUAUAAUACAGAACAGAAUUUAAGUCGAAAAGAAUGUGCAAAAAUUAUGGCUUAUGAUACAAUGUUGAAAGAAAAAUUAUUCCCAGCAUUGCAAUUCAUUUGGUGGAUAGAUGAGAAAAAUGUGAAUGAAUUAAUAAGACCAUGGUAUUGUAAAACACUGCCCUUUCCAUUAAAUUUUUACUAUCCAGGAAAAUUUGAACGACAAGCUCGAGCUAUGCUUGAAACUUUGUAUCCUGUAGAAGAUAAUAUAAGCAUCAUAGAAAAUAAGGUUUACUCUGAAGCACAGAAAUGUUUGACACUGUUAUCCACAAGUCUUGGGGAUUCAGUAUAUUUUCUGGGUGAAGAACCUACUCUAUUGGAUGCUAUUGUAUAUUCUUACUUAGCACCAUUGCUCAAAGCUCCUUUACCAAAUCCAGCAUUACAAAACCAUUUAAAAGCCUGCACAAACCUAAUGUCGUAUACAUCCCGCAUAUCGGAAAGAUAUUUUUCGAACGAAUGUUCCGAAUAUAAAACCAAAGAAAGUGCUCAAAGUAUAAAAAAAUAUGCACAAAAUGAAUUUCCUAACAAGAGACGAAAUCAGUUCUUUGCUGGAUUUUUUGCUACUUUGGUGAUGGCAACUUACGCAUUUUCAACUGGAAUAUUAGAGAUAUUUGUGUUUUAGCGGUAAUGAUUUGCAUAAUACAGUAAGUAUGUAUAGUUUCCGUAUUGUCGUAGAUCGUUAAUGAAUUAUAAUUUAUAAACAAUUUUUAUUUAUGACGAAAUUUUACGCUACCUAUUUUUUUUCGUAUAUGUUUCUUCAAACAAAGAUUAGUGUUUACUUCUAAAACGUGAUUGUAAUACACUAAUUAUGUAUAGCUAAGGGUUAGCUAUAGGGGUGGCCAUACAUGUGGUAUUCGUCAUAAUGACGGUCAUUAUUUCCUAAACAUUACCGAUAAUCUGACAGAAAAAUUUUCUUAAGAAAAAUUACUUAACGUUGAAUCGACACAAUCAAUAGAUCGAAUAUAACAAAUUCUAAAAAGCGCUUUUUCAAUGAAAAAGUCAGACGCACUCACUUUUUUAAAUAACACGAUAUAAUUUUUUAUAGCCAGUGUUGUAAAUUUCAUCUAGUGGACCACUUAUUGAUAAAUAAAGAUAAAUGCAUAUACAUAUAUAAAAUAAGUAAUAUAUCUACAGCAUUUAUUUUAUUGAAAACGAAAGUAUAAGAAAGUGCCGACCAUAAUACACAGUGACGACGAAUAUAAUAAGCGCUAAUAAUAGUCAGAAGGUUAACUAUAAUUACAAUAAUUACUGCACCAAUUUCACAUGACUUUCAGAUCUAACGCGUCAAUAGUAUAUAUGUUUAUACAGUAUGACUUACAUUUACGAAACUAUGAAAGUAAUUCUUAGGAGCAAUAUGCGCUGAGAGAGUGGAAUAUACUUAGGUAUAUUUUAAUAAUAUAGUGGUACAUACGCAUCCUGCACGGAACCAAAAUGCACGUUUAGACUAGCGUAUCUUCUUCAUAUGGUUGACUCAUGGCAUAAUAUGCAAGUACAUAUAUCGCAUUAGUUCGUAUAAGAUCAUAGUCUAUUUCGUAAUUAAAAUUAUGAAAUUCUAGGGUAUAAAAGGAGCGGCAUUUUGAAAUUCCUAAAAUUAAUAUAGAACAUUGCGUUCGGAUUCACGUACAUUUUGAAUCAUUUCGCACUUUGUAUCGUGUCAGUCAUUAUAAUCUAUGGGUUGCAUUCCCUUUCAAACAUACUGUCGAAUCAUCGUAUUCGGAUAUUCAUCUGAAGUUAUUAGGCGGUUAACCAAUGGAUAUUUCGUAUUGAUACAUCUUUGUUGCUCAAGGUACCGGUAAAGAAGGAUGAAAUUGCAAACGUACCUGUUGAAGAUGCUCUUACCUAUGAUGAAUAAAAUGAAGAAAUUGGGAAAAUAACUUCAUUGGAAACAAGUUUUACUUAACAUUAAUAUAAUUUCCUAUUUUUUUUUAUACUACAAUUUGUUUUUAAUAUUGUUAUUAGUGGAAUAUGAUUGUAACCAUUAUAAAUAAUCCCAAAUUAUAUAAAUAAAUAAUUAAAACCAAA